Molecule: long non-coding RNA, 544 nt
Filed under: Homo sapiens (human)
Lineage: Eukaryota; Metazoa; Chordata; Mammalia; Primates; Hominidae
Description: HSALNT0367912
Source: RNAcentral
CCCGCGGCCUCGCCCCGCCCCCUUUAGCCUGGGCUUGAGCGCGCGCAGAAGUCAGCUUCGUGACUUCCUUCUCAGGAUGGAACCAGCUUGGUGGCUUGAGGGAAAGGGGUUCUGAGUUGCAAAUCAGAAACUUGAAGAUGAAAUGGCUACUACGCUGGGUAUUGCCUUUAUCUUGAAUGCCAGCCUGAUGGUCCAAGGUGAACAAGCCUUCCUGUGUUUUCUGAAUGGUGUCUGGGGUCUGUCAGGAUCAACAGGCCUUGAGAGAGACUGACCCAGAGGACUACUAAAAGGGACACCUGCCCAGGCCAGCCUAUUCUACCAUCCUCGUUCUCCUGCAAAACCAAGGCCACGUCAUUUCAGCAGAGGACCUGCGUGUGGAAGGACCCUGCAGCUGGCCCAUCACAGGAGAGGCCCAGACUCACCUCCCAAGGGGACCCUGGCACAUGAAGAUGCUGGUUCUCCUGGGAGUGCUGCCCUGGCCCACAGGAUAGAAGCGCAGGAUGGUCACCCAUGUCUGCUCUUAUUGAAUGUGUCUUAGAAGCGG